AGUGAACGCUGGCGGUAGGCCUAACACAUGCAAGUCGAACGGCAGCACAGAGGAGCUUGCUCCUUGGGUGGCGAGUGGCGGACGGGUGAGGAAUACAUCGGAAUCUACUCUGUCGUGGGGGAUAACGUAGGGAAACUUACGCUAAUACCGCAUACGACCUACGGGUGAAAGCAGGGGGCCUUCGGGCCUUGCGCGAUUGAAUGAGCCGAUGUCGGAUUAGCUAGUUGGCGGGGUAAAGGCCCACCAAGGCGACGAUCCGAAGCUGGUCUGGGAGGAUGAUCAGACACACUGGAACUGAGACACGGUGCAGGCUCCUACGGGAGGCAGCAGUGGGGAAUAUUGGACAAUGGGCGCAAGCCUGAUCCAGCCAUACCGCGUGGGUGAAGAAGGCCUUCGGGUUGUAAAGCCCUUGUGUUGGGAAAGAAAUCCAGCUGGCUAAUACCCGGUUGGGAUGACGGUACCCAAAGAAUAAGCACCGGCUAACUUCGUGCCAGCCGCCGCGGUAA
RNAcentral lists this ribosomal RNA (506 nucleotides) under uncultured bacterium. Its description in RNAcentral is "partial 16S ribosomal RNA". It matches the Rfam family "Bacterial small subunit ribosomal RNA", at positions 29 to 523 of the family's 1533-position model. The record is from RNAcentral.